UGUUUUAUGAAUGUUGUAUAAAUUGUUUUUUGAUAAUUUCAUGCCUUUUUACUAAAACGGCAUUCCAUAGUUCUAUUAUUGAAUUGUGCUGAUGUUUGGGUAUUAGGAUUUUUCAAAUCGAAUACAAAGCGACGAACUUUUGUUCAAUUUAUAAACAUACUCUUCUUUUUUAUAUCCAGGGUCGCUGAUAAGUCUGGAAACGGUCGAUUACCGGGGUAAUAUAGGUACAAGAAGUUUAAUACAAAAGCUUUGGAGUUCGUCAAUGGCAGGAAUAAUUUUAAUUAUACAGGAUUGGUCAUAAACGCGUAGAACACCAAAUUUUUUUUAAUGGAAUAUCCUGUAUAUUAUUCGAUAUUUCAGUUCUCAAUUUUAAGCAAAAUUUGUAAGAAGUAUAAAGUAAACAAAUCCAAUCGUUUCCGAGUUAUCGAGUUAUCAAAACAAAAGGCUAUUGACUACAAGAAUACACAAACGUGGAAUAAACGUCUUACUUGAAUAACACGUUGUAUUAUUUAUAGGGAUGGACGAAGUCGAUGUGGUGUAUACUGUGCCGCCAAUGCAUGCAUAGAGCAAGUAAUACAACAUGGAGAGGUAGAUAUUUUUCAAGCCGUCAGGACAGUUCGAAGACAUCGUCCGCAGUUGGUGGAAGCUAUAACUGAAUAUAAAUAUUGUUAUGAUCUCGUCCUGCAUUACGUCCUUCAUUAUUUAAAUAAAGAUUUAAAAGAAAAAAUGAUGCACAAAUGAUAAAAGUGUUGUAGACAUAUUUUGUAUUAACUUUUACUCCAGCACCAAUUAAACAAUCAUACAUUUAAAACUACCACUAAGGCAGAAAGUUUUGUUUAAAUGUUAGCCAAGCUAAAUAUAAAAAUUGAUAAGAUACCUAUUUUUGCUGUUCAUAUUUUUAUUGUAUAGAUUUAAAUUAAUAGUUAAUUAAGCGCGCAAUUCUUUAAUAAGUAGGUACUUAGGUAAAUAACCAAUGUGAUUUAGUACUUCUGUAGAAAUAAAGUAUUUUACUUA
Molecule: long non-coding RNA, 1014 nt
Organism: Photinus pyralis (common eastern firefly)
Lineage: Eukaryota; Metazoa; Arthropoda; Insecta; Coleoptera; Lampyridae
Exons: 2
Source: RefSeq, a predicted model, not a curated record